This 1486-nucleotide ribosomal RNA is filed under the name uncultured bacterium. Its description in RNAcentral is "bacterial SSU rRNA". It matches the Rfam family "Bacterial small subunit ribosomal RNA". The record is from RNAcentral.
GACGAACGCUGGCGGCGUGCCUAAUACAUGCAAGUCGAGCGAGCAGAACCAGCAGAUUUACUUCGGUAAUGACGCUGGGGACGCGAGCGGCGGAUGGGUGAGUAACACGUGGGGAACCUGCCCCAUAGUCUGGGAUACCACUUGGAAACAGGUGCUAAUACCGGAUAAGAAAGCAGAUCGCAUGAUCAGCUUAUAAAAGGCGGCGUAAGCUGUCGCUAUGGGAUGGCCCCGCGGUGCAUUAGCUAGUUGGUAAGGUAACGGCUUACCAAGGCGAUGAUGCAUAGCCGAGUUGAGAGACUGAUCGGCCACAUUGGGACUGAGACACGGCCCAAACUCCUACGGGAGGCAGCAGUAGGGAAUCUUCCACAAUGGACGCAAGUCUGAUGGAGCAACGCCGCGUGAGUGAAGAAGGUUUUCGGAUCGUAAAGCUCUGUUGUUGGUGAAGAAGGAUAGAGGUAGUAACUGGCCUUUAUUUGACGGUAAUCAACCAGAAAGUCACGGCUAACUACGUGCCAGCAGCCGCGGUAAUACGUAGGUGGCAAGCGUUGUCCGGAUUUAUUGGGCGUAAAGCGAGCGCAGGCGGAAGAAUAAGUCUGAUGUGAAAGCCCUCGGCUUAACCGAGGAACUGCAUCGGAAACUGUUUUUCUUGAGUGCAGAAGAGGAGAGUGGAACUCCAUGUGUAGCGGUGGAAUGCGUAGAUAUAUGGAAGAACACCAGUGGCGAAGGCGGCUCUCUGGUCUGCAACUGACGCUGAGGCUCGAAAGCAUGGGUAGCGAACAGGAUUAGAUACCCUGGUAGUCCAUGCCGUAAACGAUGAGUGCUAAGUGUUGGGAGGUUUCCGCCUCUCAGUGCUGCAGCUAACGCAUUAAGCACUCCGCCUGGGGAGUACGACCGCAAGGUUGAAACUCAAAGGAAUUGACGGGGGCCCGCACAAGCGGUGGAGCAUGUGGUUUAAUUCGAAGCAACGCGAAGAACCUUACCAGGUCUUGACAUCUAGUGCCAUCCUAAGAGAUUAGGAGUUCCCUUCGGGGACGCUAAGACAGGUGGUGCAUGGCUGUCGUCAGCUCGUGUCGUGAGAUGUUGGGUUAAGUCCCGCAACGAGCGCAACCCUUGUUAUUAGUUGCCAGCAUUAAGUUGGGCACUCUAAUGAGACUGCCGGUGACAAACCGGAGGAAGGUGGGGAUGACGUCAAGUCAUCAUGCCCCUUAUGACCUGGGCUACACACGUGCUACAAUGGGCAGUACAACGAGAAGCGAGCCUGCGAAGGCAAGCGAAUCUCUGAAAGCUGUUCUCAGUUCGGACUGCAGUCUGCAACUCGACUGCACGAAGCUGGAAUCGCUAGUAAUCGCGGAUCAGCACGCCGCGGUGAAUACGUUCCCGGGCCUUGUACACACCGCCCGUCACACCAUGGAAGUCUGCAAUGCCCAAAGCCGGUGGCCUAACCUUCGGGAAGGAGCCGUCUAAGGCAGGGCAGAUGACUGGGGUG